CACGGGGGGAGCAAGCGUUGUUCGGAAUCACUGGGCGUAAAGGGCGUGUAGGCGGUCAGGUAAGUGAGAUGUGAAAUGCCCCGGCUCACCCGGGGACCGGCAUCUCAUACUGCUUGGCUUGAGUACGGGAGAGGAUGUGGGAAUUCCUGGUGUAGCGGUGAAAUGCGUAGAUAUCAGGAGGAACACCGGUGGCGAAGGCGGUUCUCUGGGACGGUACUGACGCUGAGACGCGAAAGCGUGGGGAGCGAACAGG
Molecule: ribosomal RNA, 253 nt
Filed under: uncultured bacterium
Lineage: Bacteria
Description: partial 16S ribosomal RNA
Rfam family: Bacterial small subunit ribosomal RNA
Source: RNAcentral